Prunus avium (sweet cherry) is the source of this 825-nucleotide non-coding RNA. NCBI's taxonomy places the organism in Eukaryota, Viridiplantae, Streptophyta, Magnoliopsida, Rosales, Rosaceae. The record is from RefSeq and is a predicted model, not a curated record.
AAAUAUGAUAUUUUUUUAAUUUCCCUCAUUUUAGUUUUCCUUCAGACCAGAACAUUCUCAUCACUUCUCUCUCCCUCUCCCUCUCCCUCUCUCACAAUUUUAGGAUUCUCUCUCGCUGGACCAUUCAAGAGCUCCAGCUCCUUGUUCGCUAGAAGACUAUUGCUCCAGCCCUAUUUCUUCAAAGUUGAAUGCUCAGUGACAGUCCCAAGGGAAUCAAUGCCGGGGAUAUUAAGAAGUUUGAAGACGCUAGGAUCUACACCUGCAAUGGCUUGAUGAUGCAUAUGAAGAAGAACUUUACUGGAAUCAAAGGUUUAUCUGAGGCUAAAGUUGAUAAGAUAUGCGAAGCUGCUGAAAACCAUUUCAGCUAAGAGAUUUUAUAUCUCAUAUGUGUUCUUUUAUUAGGAAACACUUCAUAGACAAAUUCAACUUGUUAUUCAUAGUUUGAGAGAGAUGGCUCUGACGGGUUCCAGAAUACCCAUCAAAUGCAACAAUUUCAAUAUGCAUAAUUUAGUAUAGAUCAGUGAGUUAUGGCUAUAAGGCUAAGCAUAUCUUGGCCAGGUUGUAUUCAUUCUAGAGUCGCAAAGAAAAAACUUCUUUUGGAUGAUAUGGCAGCAGAGGAAACAUUAGAGGUGGCAGAUCAAGUGUCAGUUUCAUUCUUGUUAGAUGAUGUCUACUGCCAGUGCUAUCAUGAGGUUUUUGCAUAGGUUACGUUGUAGGUUUGGUAGCACUAUUAUGAGUGAAUGAGUUGGAGGUUGUGUACAAGUUAAUUGUAAAUUUGGCAGCACUAUUAUGUGUUUCUUUAAUACUUUAUAGAGUUUGUAUCUG